AUUGAACGCUGGCGGCAGGCCUAACACAUGCCAGUCGAGCGGAUGAAGGGAGCUUGCUCCUGGAUUCAGCGGCGGACGGGUGAGUAAUGCCUAGGAAUCUGCCUGGCCGUUGGGGAUAACGUCCGUAAACGGGCGCUAACACCGCAUACGUCCUGAUGUAGAAAGUGGGGGAUCUUCGGACCUCACGCUAUCAGAUGAGCCUAGGUCGGAUUAGCUAGUUGGUUGGGUAAGGGCCUACCAAGGCGACGAUCCGUAACUGGUCUGAGAGGAUGAUCAGUCACACUGGAACUGAGACACGGUCCAGACUCCUACGGGAGGCAGCAGUGGGGAAUAUUGGACAAUGGGCGAAAGCCUGAUCCAGCCAUGCCGCGUGUGUGAAGAAGGUCUUCGGAUUGUAAAGCACUUUAAGUUGGGAGGAAGGGAAGUAAGUUAAUACCUGGCUGUUUUGACGUUACCAACAGAAUAAGCACCGGCUAACUUCGUG
Molecule: ribosomal RNA, 484 nt
Filed under: uncultured bacterium
Lineage: Bacteria
Description: partial 16S ribosomal RNA
Rfam family: Bacterial small subunit ribosomal RNA
Source: RNAcentral